GACGAACGCUGGCGGCGUGCUUAACACAUGCAAGUCGAACGGAAAGGCCCUGCUUUUGUUGGGUGCUCGAGUGGCGAACGGGUGAGUAACACGUGAGUAACCUGCCCUUGACUUUGGGAUAACUUCAGGAAACUGGGGCUAAUACCGGAUAGGAGCUCCUGCUGCUUGGUGGGGGUUGGAAAUUUUCGGCGGUUGGGUAUGGACUCGCGGCUUAUCAGCUUGUUGGUGGGGUAGUGGCUUACCAAGGCUUUGACGGGUAGCCGGCCUGAGAGGGUGACCGGCCACAUUGGGACUGAGAUACGGCGCAGACUCGUACGGUAGGCAGCAGUGGGGAAUAUUGCACAAUGGGCGGAAGCCUGAUGCAGCAGCGCCGCGUGCGGGAUGAAGGCCUUCGGGUUGUAAACCGCUUUCGCCUGUGACGAAGCGUGAGUGACGGUAAUGGGUAAAGAAGCACCGGCUAACUACGUG
Molecule: ribosomal RNA, 468 nt
Filed under: uncultured bacterium
Lineage: Bacteria
Description: partial 16S ribosomal RNA
Rfam family: Bacterial small subunit ribosomal RNA
Source: RNAcentral